This 1005-nucleotide ribosomal RNA is filed under the name Triticum aestivum (bread wheat). RNAcentral's name for it is "partial small subunit ribosomal RNA". Lineage: Eukaryota; Viridiplantae; Streptophyta; Magnoliopsida; Poales; Poaceae. The record is from RNAcentral.
AUGGUGGACCGUGAGAGCGAUACCUACAGUUGCGAAUGUGCCAUGUUUGAGCACAUGGGUAUCCUUUGUCAGCAUGCUCUGAAGGUGAUGGUGCACGUUGGUGUGUGCCGAAUCCCUAGUCAUUACAUUUUGAAAAGGUGGAGUAGGGAUGCCCGUGAUGUUCUUCCUGAUCACUUAAAAUGUUAUCAGAAGGACUCGGACCUAGGGGUGUCUAAGACGUUUAGGCACAACAUUUUAUAUGUGCGUGCUCUGCAGGUUGUCAAGCUUGGCAAUAUGAGCAUCCCGCUCUUCAACCACGCCGUGCAACGACUGCUAGCCCUGGAGAAAGAACUGAAUGCCAUGGCUGCGGAAGAAGCAGAAAACAAAUCAGCUGGCUUGUGCGGGUCUGAAACUUUGAGGUGCACGUCUCCUGCUACCCUUUCUGAAGAAAUUCCGAACUCAGGGGCAUAUGCCGGUGAAGCUGCGCCCCCUGAUCUCACGUCUGAACCGGUCGACAUCCCUUUGCCACCGCAGAGAAUGCCCCCUGACCUUGCGUCUGAUCCCGUCGAUGCUCCUUUGCCGCCGCAAAGAAGGCCCUCUCGUGGUCGUCCAAAAUCUCAGAGGAUGAAAUCGGUGCUGGAGCAAAAAGGGAAGCCAGCGGCGACCUGCGCCGUGUGCGGUUCUAAAGAACACCAUACCGAGGAAUGUGAAUGUCUGCAGAUGCCUGAGCGCAGCGAUGGCAGCGAAGACAGUGAGCCUGAACAUCCAGACCCCGUACCGUCAGGUUUGUGUGUUCGUAGGGCACAGCCGAUGAGGACCAACAAAAGGCAGUCUGAAACUGAAGCUUCAGAUGUGUGUGUCAGUAAGACUGCCGCUGCACCAUGGUUUUCUCGAGGAACAACGCAGCAUCAUGGUCUCCGCCACAAUGGGGCGUCUUCGUCAGCCAAUGACAUUGAUCGCACACCAAAGAUGAAGCCUCCCGCUCCACCACGCAGAUGCAGCGUCUGUGGCAAGAAAGGACACUAA